RNAcentral lists this transfer RNA (69 nucleotides) under Sciurus carolinensis (gray squirrel). It matches the Rfam family "tRNA". From Rfam's summary of the family: Transfer RNA (tRNA) molecules are approximately 80 nucleotides in length. The record is from Rfam by way of RNAcentral. Lineage: Eukaryota; Metazoa; Chordata; Mammalia; Rodentia; Sciuridae. RNAcentral also lists the same sequence under 1 other name.
GGGGUUGUGGCUCAAUGGUAGAGCGCUUGCCUAGCAUGUGUGAGGCCCUGGGUUCGAUCCUCAGCACCA